RNAcentral lists this long non-coding RNA (1506 nucleotides) under Salmo trutta (river trout). Its description in RNAcentral is "lncRNA (ENSSTUG00000004403.1)". The record is from RNAcentral. Lineage: Eukaryota; Metazoa; Chordata; Actinopteri; Salmoniformes; Salmonidae.
ACAACUCUACCAUUAGUGUGUUUUUAUAGCAUCCUGUAGUAGUUCUCUUCCAUUUAUACGUCCUCCUUUCCUUCCUCUAUCUUUCCUAUGUCAGGUGUAUGAGGAUGACUGGGUACUGACUCAAGCCUCUGACUCUGGCUGUCCGUCUGAGGUCCUGUUGGAGCAGGAUCGUGUUUUUGAGAAGAGCAGCGCCCCAGACCUGCUGAACCCCCCUAACCUAGACCACAUGGUGCUAGAGUGGGACCCCUCCGUCGACAUCGGGGGCCCCGUCUCCCAAUCCGACGCCUACUUGUCAUAUUUCAGCGCCAACACAGAUCGAGAAAAGCCACUGGCCAGAGAUGGUGUAAAGAGGCGGAGUUACCUCGGCUCCAUAGGCUCUCAGUCUGAUAUAAAUUACAGAGCAGCAGAGGAAAUGGUGAGUAGACCGAGCUCCUCCUACUGAUCUUUAUUCUGGCUCUUCGCUCGACCGCUGUUCCCUUAGGCUCAGAGGCACACGCAGGUCAACAUGUUUCUGCAAUAUUAUCAGGAAUGUAAACUUGUGUUCAACCGGCAAAGGAAUUUGAAUAAUGCAUUGGACAGUGUAUACUGAAGUAUGUGUGAAACACAUGAUCCAUUGAAAUGACACACAAUGUUGUUCUUCACUUCGAUUAACAAGGAGUUAUUGUGUGUGUGUGUGUGUGAGGAAAAAGCUAUCUUAGCUCUUCUUUUUUUUUUUGUUGAUAAGCCUAAAGCCAAUACUUUCAUUAUCAUCGGUGUCAGUACAGAGAAGUUUUGUUUUGCUGGUGCGACUAAUAAUACUGAUUGUGUUGAACUCCAAACCAAACCCAUUGGAUUUAAUAGUGGAAGAUGCAGAAAUGUAGGACUAAUUUUAGCAUCUGAUUUAAGCCAGAAAUAUAAAGACUUCAAAGACUCCUCCAGGGUUUUUGCAUAUUAAAACCAAAACUCUCAAUGAAAUGUGUUAGUUCAUUCCAGGUAAAAUGUACACAAUCUAUCCUCACUUGUGGCUGGUGUUUCCAGAGGCUGGAGAGGAGGUUUGAGUAUGCAGGCCCAGUGUUCUCACCUCCCACGAUCCAGAGUGUCAGAGAUGGCAAACCUCUACUCUCUGGCCACUGGACGACCUCCAUGCCCGACGGACCCUCCCAGGAGCCUGUGAACUUUGACCCUGAUCGCAUCAGCGCCUGGCUGGGACAGACGCACGGACACACCGUCCCCUCUAUAGCCCCCUCGGUCCAACCGCACAGAGCCUGCUCCAAGGCUGUCCAGACCGACAGUACUUGGAAGUGUGCUGGUUGCUCUGAGGGAAGCCACAGUCUCAGGUACAUCCCUGUUCAGACACACCUCCAGGAGCUGUGUUUGACCCCCUACACCUUACAGUCAUGUGACCUCCAGCUCAAGUCUGAUAGGAUGGCUUGUAGACUUCAGUUAAACCCACAGGUAACAGUAUCACAUCACAUUGCAUUGCUUGCUGUUUGGGGUUUUAGGCUGGGUUUCUGUACAGCACUUUGA